This is a long non-coding RNA of Balaenoptera ricei (Rice's whale), 1487 nucleotides long. RefSeq lists it as uncharacterized. The transcript is spliced from 4 exons. Lineage: Eukaryota; Metazoa; Chordata; Mammalia; Artiodactyla; Balaenopteridae. The record is from RefSeq and is a predicted model, not a curated record.
GGCCUAGCCGCUGCACGGCAUGUGGGAUCCUCCCAGACCAGGGCUCGAACCCGUGUCCCCUGCAUUGGCAGGCAGACUCCCAACCACUGCGCCACCAGAAAGGUCCCACCGAGAUUUGAACUCGGAUCGCUGGAUUCAGAGUCCAGAGUGCUCACCAUUACACCAUGGAACCCGCCGCCUCCGGCUCCGCUGCUCCUUCUACUGAGCCAGGACGGGCACAGCUCCGCGGGCCCAGGAGCGGCCUCCCGCCGGGCGCUCUCGUCACCCCUCCCCGAGCCCGCUUCCUCCGCGACGCCAGGAGGAACCUGACGCGCCUGCCCUCCGCCGUCUCUUCAGGUUUCUACCUGGUGGAGAAAGACGGAAUCUAUUCUGGCUGAGCGAUAAGAAAUGUUUUCAGGGCUUCUCCCCAAUCCACCUGCGCGGUGAGCAACCCUAGUGUUUCCCCUUUAAGUAAAAUCCCUGCCAGGAAAAACAAAACUUUUUUCCGUUUUUUUCGCAGUUGUCCUCUUCCCGCUCUCUUGGGAGCUUAGAACAUCGUCAAACAGCCUUUGAUAUUUGGGGGGACGAUCUUCCCUUGCGAUCGCAAGUUGCUGCCGGCUUCGUUGGGGCACAAAAUGUUUUUUUUCUUUAUUCUUGGCAAUUGGAUCAGAACCGCAAAAACUUUGAUUACAUGGUAGCACCACCGCUACGUGUGCGUUGAAAAUGCACUAAAAAAUUUCAUGCAGAAAAACCGUUUAUCACACGGCUGAGUACGAAAACGCUCUUACUCAAACCGCCAGAGUUCAAGAAAUCACAAAAGGGGGCAGAUAUGGGAAACUACGCACAAAAAAACCUUGCAAAAACUUCUACUACAACGCAAGUACAUAAAGAGAACACAAUCACAGAAAACAAAUUCUUACGCGUUUUAUUCCCCCCAGAUGUUUAGCUCUACUAUUAAACACCAAUUGCGGGGGGAAAGCGCGCACGCAGUCCCCCACUACCACAAAUUAUGCAGUCGAGUUUCUCCCAUUUGGAGAAAUCGCAGGCGUCAGCACACUCGCAGUGCAAUGAGUGAGCCUCGUCCUGGGAAAACCACCCUCAUGAUCAUGAUAUCUCCUCUGCCAGAAUACAAGAAAUGAAGAUUCUGAAAAAGAAGCUGAUGACCAAGAUAAGGGAUAGAAAGAUGACGUGUUUGCUUGAAGAGUGAGGGAACACCGGUUCGAGCCCUGGUCCGGGAAGAUCCCACAUGCCGCGGAGCAACUAAGUUCGUGUGCCACAACUAAUGAGCCUGUGCUAUAGAGCCCGCAAGCCACAACUACUGAAGCCCGUGCGCCUAGAGCCCAUGCUCUGCAACAAGAGAAGCCACCGCAUUGAGAAGUCCUGGCACCGCAAUGAAGAGUAGCCCCUGCUCGCCGCAACUAGAGAAAGCCUGCGUGUAGCGACGAAGACCCAAUGCAGCCAAAAAUAAAUAAGUAAAAUAAAUAAAUAAAAUAAAUUUAUUAAAAGAA